GAUGAACGCUGGCGGCGUGCCUAAUACAUGCAAGUCGAGCGAACGGACGAGAAGCUUGCUUUUCUGAUGUUAGCGGCGGACGGGUGAGUAACACGUGGAUAACCUACCUAUAAGACUGGGAUAACUUCGGGAAACCGGAGCUAAUACCGGAUAAUAUUUUGAACCGCAUGGUUCAAAAGUGAAAGACGGUCUUGCUGUCACUUAUAGAUGGAUCCGCGCUGCAUUAGCUAGUUGGUAAGGUAACGGCUUACCAAGGCAACGAUGCAUAGCCGACCUGAGAGGGGGACCGGCCACAUGGGAACUGGAAAAGGGCCAAGACUCCUACGGGAGGCAGAAGGAGGGAAUCUUCCGAAAUGGGCGAAAGCCUGACGGAGCAACGCCGCGUGAGUGAUGAAGGUCUUCGAAUCGUAAAACUCUGUUAUUAGGGAAGAACAAAUGUGUAAGUAACUGUGCACUUCUUGACGGUACCUAAUAAGAAAGCCACGGCUAACUACGUG
Molecule: ribosomal RNA, 497 nt
Filed under: uncultured bacterium
Lineage: Bacteria
Description: partial 16S ribosomal RNA
Rfam family: Bacterial small subunit ribosomal RNA
Source: RNAcentral